AGUGAACGCUGGCGGUAGGCCUAACACAUGCAAGUCGAACGGCAGCACAGUAAGAGCUUGCUCUUACGGGUGGCGAGUGGCGGACGGGUGAGGAAUACAUCGGAAUCUACUUUUUCGUGGGGGAUAACGUAGGGAAACUUACGCUAAUACCGCAUACGACCUACGGGUGACAGCAGGGGAUCUUCGGACCUUGCGCGAUUGAAUGAGCCGAUGUCGGAUUAGCUAGUUGGCGGGGUAAAGGCCCACCAAGGCGACGAUCCGUAGCUGGUCUGAGAGGAUGAUCAGCCACACUGGGACUGAGACACGGUCCAGACUCCUACGGGAGGCAGCAGUGGGGAAUAUUGGACAAUGGGCGCAAGCCUGAUCCAGCCAUACCGCGUGGGUGAAGAAGGCCUUCGGGUUGUAAAGCCCUUUUGUUGGGAAAGAAAAGCAGCAGGUUAAUACCCCGCUGUUCUGACGGUACCCAAAGAAUAAGCACCGGCUAACUUCGUG
Molecule: ribosomal RNA, 492 nt
Filed under: uncultured bacterium
Lineage: Bacteria
Description: partial 16S ribosomal RNA
Rfam family: Bacterial small subunit ribosomal RNA
Source: RNAcentral